Molecule: ribosomal RNA, 253 nt
Filed under: uncultured bacterium
Lineage: Bacteria
Description: partial 16S ribosomal RNA
Rfam family: Bacterial small subunit ribosomal RNA
Source: RNAcentral
UACGUAGGGACCAAGCGUUGUUCGGAUUUACUGGGCGUAAAGGGCGCGUAGGCGGCGCGGUAAGUCACUUGUGAAAUCUCUGAGCUUAACUCAGAACGGCCAAGUGAUACUGCAGUGCUAGAGUGUGGAAGGGGCAAUCGGAAUUCUUGGUGUAGCGGUGAAAUGCGUAGAUAUCAGGAGGAACACCGGUGGCGAAGGCGGGUCUCUGGGCCGUAACUGACGCUGAGGAGCGAAAGCGUGGGGAGCGAACAGG